AUGAGUUGUUUUCAGCUCAUAAAGAAAACGUGCUGGAACCUGACUUCGAUCUCCUCGAAAUUCUGGUGGGGUGCAACGAAUGGUGAAAGGAAAGUGCACUGGGUCUGUUGGCAAAAAAUGUGUGCAGCAAAGAGUGUUGGUGGUCUUGGGUUCCGCGAUCCCGAGGCAUUCAAUCAAGCUUUGUUAGCAAAGCAAGCCUGGAGAAUUCUGCAAGUACCAGCCUCUCUUUGUGCUAGGGUUCUUAAAGCACGCUAUUUUAAAGAAGAGACAAUCAUGUCGGCCACCUGCCCUUCAAAUGAGUCUUACACCUACAGGAGUGUGCUACAUGGCCGAGAUCUUCUCAGGGAGGGUGUGAUUUGGCGGAUUGGGGAUGGUUCUAAAGUUCAUAUCCACCAUGAUAAUUGGAUCCCAAGAAGGGGUAGCAUGAGACCACUGGGUCAAAUUCAUGUGCCGGGCGUCACGCGGGUUGCUGACCUGCUCACCUUGAACGGGCGUGCAUGGGAUCCGGCUAAAGUGAACGAGAUGUUCAGUCCAAGUGAUGCGCAAGAUAUUCUCUAG
RNAcentral lists this ribosomal RNA (558 nucleotides) under Triticum aestivum (bread wheat). Its description in RNAcentral is "partial small subunit ribosomal RNA". The record is from RNAcentral. Lineage: Eukaryota; Viridiplantae; Streptophyta; Magnoliopsida; Poales; Poaceae.